This 253-nucleotide ribosomal RNA is filed under the name uncultured bacterium. RNAcentral's name for it is "partial 16S ribosomal RNA". It matches the Rfam family "Bacterial small subunit ribosomal RNA", at positions 524 to 776 of the family's 1533-position model. The record is from RNAcentral.
GACAGAGGGUGCAAACGUUGUUCGGAAUUACUGGGCGUAAAGCGAGUGUAGGCGGUCCGCUAAGUCGGGUGUGAAAGCCCUGGGCUCAACCCAGGAAGUGCACUCGAAACUGGCGGGCUAGAGUAUCGGAGAGGUUGGUGGAAUUCUCGGUGUAGAGGUGAAAUUCGUAGAUAUCGAGAGGAACACCGGUGGCGAAGGCGGCCAACUGGACGAAUACUGACGCUGAGACUCGAAAGCGUGGGGAGCAAACAGG